GUCACCUCCCCAGUAGCAUAAUUGGAAAGACGCUAAGGGGCCCCGAAAUGCCGAAGUGCUGUAAAUUAGCAGCGUUCAAUCCCGAUGAACAUUAAACCGAGUGGGUCGCUAAUUCCUCCGCUCACGCUGCUCCCAGAGUCUUCCCACUGGGGGCUUUUGGCUCGGAGCAUUACAGGCCCAUUUGUUCUGCCUGGCUUCUCCAUCAGGGCAGGACCUCAAGGUUGAAAGCACCAACUGCAUCCAAGCAAAUGAAUUGCACCUUCUAGCCCAGCUUUGGGAUUAAAGGAAUAAAGAGGAAAUUUUGCAAGGCCUUAGGCAAAAACAAACAAACAAAAAAGCGUAAUGAGAAGAAAAACAUCAGACAAUCCCACUUGAAGGACAUUUAUGAAAUACCUGACCAGCCAUUCCUUACAACUG
Mustela lutreola (European mink) is the source of this 417-nucleotide long non-coding RNA. RefSeq lists it as uncharacterized. Lineage: Eukaryota; Metazoa; Chordata; Mammalia; Carnivora; Mustelidae. The record is from RefSeq and is a predicted model, not a curated record. The transcript has 3 exons.